Molecule: long non-coding RNA, 5358 nt
Organism: Mirounga angustirostris (Northern elephant seal)
Lineage: Eukaryota; Metazoa; Chordata; Mammalia; Carnivora; Phocidae
Exons: 4
Source: RefSeq, a predicted model, not a curated record
CACUUCCGGACUGACAUACUUUGUUCCUGAUGAAGACUCUUCCAUGAUUUCAUUUCCUGCAGAAUGGACCAUAGAGCAUUGUGUUGAGAGCCCAAGAACUUGCCAGUCAAGAUGAAAAACUUCUUCUAAUGGAAUCCAGCUUGAAAGCUACUCAAGAGCAGCUAACUGAGCAAAUAGCAGAAACAGUUCGCCAAGAACAGAACAGUAGAAAACCCCAGGCAGAGCUGAAGACAGUGACAGAAGGGAUUAUUGCUUCUGAAGAAGAAAAAAAUGAUUACAAAAAAAGCACAAGCAGGGGCAGUGGCAGAGGCAGAGGGAGAAGUAGGUUUCCUGCUCACGUGCGGCUGGAUUACAGGACCCUGGGAUCAUGACCUGAGCCGGAGGCGGACGCUUAACCAACUGAGCCACCCAGUGUAUUAGAGUUCUCCAGAGAAUCAGAACCAACAGGAGGUUGAGAAGUGCCAUGAUCUGUCAUCUGCAAGCCAGAGAGGCUCAAGAAAGCCCGUGGUGUAGUUCCAAUCCCUACCCGAAGGCCUGAGAAUCAGGGGAGCCAAUGGUGUGAGUCCUGGUCCAAGUCUGAAGGCCCAAGAACCAAGAGCACCAAGGUGAAGACAUAUGUCCCCACUUAAGCAGAGGGCAAAUUCACCCUUCCUCAGAAUUGUUGUUCAAUUCAGGCCCUCCAAGGAUUAGAUGAUGCCCACGUACACUGGUGAGGGAGCAUCUUCUUUACUCAGUCUACCAAUUCAAAUGCUAAUCUUUUCCAGAAACACCCUCUCAGACACAUUCAGAAUAAUGUUUUUACCAACUAUCUGGGCACCCCUUAGCCCAGUCAAGCUGACACAUAAAAUUAACUAUCACAGCAAUUGUCUUAUAAUUAGUUGGAUAGUGAUUUAAGUACAGAGUCUGGGCCAUAAUACAGGUCUAUCUAUUGAUUUUCCUGGCAUACUAUCAAAAUAAAUAUAAUUGUGCAUUGUUGGGGUUAAUGUAGAGCAUGAAGUCAUCCAUAAUACCUGGCUUGCUAAAAUGUUAACACGGAGGCCGCUGGGGGCAAUGGAAGGUUUCGGAGAAGGGAGUGGGCCUUUGGAAUGCCGGGCCAGCUCACCACUCCGCCAGAGGAAUGCCACGGGGAAUUACCUUUCCCGAAGUUCUCUAACCCCAAACAGCCGCCCUGUGAUCUAAGAGAUGUCCGCAUUGUCCCUUAGGCUAUGUUUAGCAGAACUCAGAGAACACACAGAUUAGGAUAUCGUAUCUUUCCCGUAAACAGAUCCUCCUAGUUCCAUUAAGACCCCUUGUCAACACAUCCCGUGCUUGAGAAGCAGUGAUAAGGAUUUGUGAUUCUCCUGAAGGACCAAUAAAAGCUGGAGCAAAGAAGAGCAAAGCGUCUUCGUCUCUGAGCAUUGACCCCCUUGCCUUCUCCUCUCUUUCAACGGCAAAGUCUGGAGUCAUCUUUCAUCCUCGGUACAGGGAUUGCUGGCCAUUCCCGGCAGUGCAUUUCAUGUAUUUUCUCUAAGAAGACUUUUUUUGUUUUUGCUGGUUUAAAUCUAAAAAGAAGAAAAGUGACAGCAAUUUUUCAGCCUUAGAAAAGAAGAAAAUUCUGUCAUUUGCAACAACAUGGAUGAAUCUGGAGGAUAUUAUGCUAAGUAACAUGUUAGACACAGAAGAAAGCGAAUACUACAUGAACUCACGUAUAUGGAAUCGAAAAAAAAUGUAAUGCUGGAAGCAGAGUGGAAUGGUGCUUGCCAGGGUCUGGGUGGUGAGGGAAAAGGCAGAUACUGGUCAAAGGAUAUAAAAGUUUCAGAUAUGCAAGGUGAACCGGUUAUGGAGAGCUAAUGUAGAGCAAUGUGACCAUCGUUAAUAAUACCGUGUUAUAUACUUGAAAUUUGAUGAGAAUGCAUCUUUUUUUCUUUAAGAUUUAUUUUUAUUUAUUUAUUUGAGAGAGCGUGUGUGUGCAUAUGCAUGCACACAUGAGCAUGUGCAUGAGCAGGGAGGGGGGCGGCACAGAGGGAGAGGAUCCCAAGCAGACUCCUUGCUAAGUGCAGAGCCUGAGGUGGGGCUCAUGGCUGGGCUUGAUCCCAGGACCCUGAGAUCAUGACCUCAAUCAAAACCAAAAACCAGAGGCUUAACUGCCUGAGCCACCCAGGCACCUCACUGAGAGCGGAUCUUACGUGUUCUUACCACACAUAAAACGUAGUCACUAUAUCAAGUAAAGGAUUUCUUAGCGAGAUUGUGAUAAUUAUUUCACAAUGUAUUCGUGUAUGUCAAAUCAUCACGGUGUACAUCUUACAUAUACAUAAUUUUGUCAAUUACAUCUCAACGAAGAUGAAAAAAAUCUAUGUCAUCAUGUAUGACAAUAGGGAAAAAAUGUAGUAAGGACGCAAUUUCAUUAUUCUUCAAAUGUGUGAGGAUCUACAAAGAAAAGAAGAUACAGCAGAAGCUUGGUGGUGGUAUAGCUUCAAUGCAAGUUUGGCCAUUACACCACUUUAAAUCAUGUAUCAUAUGUAUUACCAUAGGCACUUCAUUAACAUUAUUGUAAAUAUUUAUACAAACUGAAAGAAGAAAACAUAAAAAGGAUUACUUUUGUUAUAAAACAUCCCACAUUUACCAACACCUAAGUCCUCUUUCGAUUUAAUCAUUUCAAGCAGAGUUCUCAUGAAAUUGUAAUUAAAUUGAAUGUAUACAUUUGUGUUUGUAACAUAGCUUAAUUUUACAUAAGGAUAUUCACUAAUUUAUGCAUUAUUUUAAAAGCAAAAUUUCAUUUCAAUAAUUUAUCUCCCAAUUUUCCAAGCUAAGAGCACUGACACCUUUUUUUCUUUGUUUUUAUUAUCCUUUUUUUUUCAAGGUUUGAUGAUUUUUUCCUUUGGAAUUAUUAUUUUUGGAUAUUUAACCAAAGUGGGAUUACUACAUCAAAGCUUUUCUGUCUCCUUGUACAUAUUACCUAUUAUUCUCCAGAAAGACUAUACAGUUUUUAUUUCUGUCUAUAAAGUUGGAAAGCCAAAUAUUGGUUCAUUCUCUUCAAAACUUUAAAGAAUAAUAUUGUAUAGCAUUGGUAUAUAUGAAUAAUUUUUUAAAGUUAAGCUUUCUUCUAUGUUUUUCAUUGUACAUUUAUCUAUAACUUCACAUUAUUGAAUGUAUCAAGUUUCAGUGGCAUUUUAAAUGCACAGUUUUCUAUGAGGCACCAUUUAUUCAUUUAUUCCACACAUGGUUGCUGAGUUCUUACUUGUAGGACAUAACAUACCUGUAACGGAAAGCCUUUCCCAUACUUGGUCAUGUCUAAGACUUAAUACAGCAUCAGACAAGCUGUAUGACCAUGUCCUACGCUCUGUGAGGCACCAGCUGAUGUGGAUACUUACAGGUUUUGCCACCCAUCUUCACAUUCUCUACGAUAACAAGGUUAUGGUUUGGGCUUUUGUGACCCACCAUUCUCCCCCUCAGCCCACCUGCAUUAGGUAAGACUGAUUCCUCACUACUCACUCCCCAGCAACACAAGCAGACCGCGUUGUGCAGGCCUAUGUCAUUCAGUGCAUUUCCUUCGUCAGACCUCAGUGACCACUCAGAGAUGGACACAUCAUCUAAUGGAACCAAUGAAAUGGACCAAGACUCCUCCUUCUUCCUGGAACAGGAGCAGAGCUGCGGAAGACGCUGGAGCUGUUGUUGCUACCACAGAGAUCUCGCUGGGACCCAACACUGCAGAAGCUGGUCUCUUCUGGAGCCCAAGAAAGCUUCAGCUCAGCCACAUGGCUGGAGGGUCUGCUCAUGCAUGCAGACGCUAAGACUGCACCUGCCUGCACAACCACACCAGUCUGUAGGUUUGCUUUAGGCUUCAGUCAGUUUCGUUUUUAAUCACUCUCAACCUAAACUAUACCAAUACAUAUUUUGGGUUCACAAUAAACACAAGAUGGUAAAACCAUCCCUGUUCUGUUGGACUUACAAAGCCAACAGACUAAUUAGACAUACAGAUUUUAUCAAAUAAUUAUAAAUAUGGUGAUUUAGUGUCUGUGAUACAGUUGCAGCUGUGACAAGUAUGAGAUCUGUCGAACUUGGGUUCUCCCACAUUAGGUAGCCCUCCGGGAUCCGAGGCUCUAUCUGUCUGUCUGGAGAGUAUAUAUAUUGUACAGAGUUCUCUGCAAGUGCUUGAGAGAGAGCAUUCCCAAGAACAGAUAGGUAAGUAGAAUUGGAGUGGCAUUUUAAACACAAGGAAAAUAGCACACAAAAGCAUGUGGUAAGGGCGCCUGGGUGGCUCAGUUGGUUAAGCGACUGCCUUCGGCUCAGGUCAUGAUCCUGGAGUCCCUGGAUCGAGUCCCGCAUUGGGCUCCCUGCUCGGCAGGGAGUCUGCUUUGCCCUCUGACCCUAUCCCCUCUCAUGUGUUCUCUCUCAUUCUCUCUCUCUCAAAUAAAUAAAUAAAAUCUUAAAAAAAAAAAAAAAAAAGCAUGUGGUAAGAAAGAACAUGAGCAAAAGAAGGCCAGAAAGUUUGUGGGAAAUGAGUGAGUGAAAUUUGAGUGGGAGGAGCUUAAAUCUGCAAAAGCCAGCAUGAGACUUUUGCUAAUUACCUUAUGAGCGAACAUAAAAGAAUGAAAGGGGGCUUUGAAAAGGGGCACGUGUGAUGAGAUUUACUUUUUAAGGAGAUAAUUCCUAUUGCAGUGUGGAGAGCAGAAUGGUUGAGAGAGCAGUGGAGGCAGGGCUUUGCUAGAUGAGGUGUGGUGGGAGAGAGCGCUGAGAGGAACCCCAGGACAGCCACAAAACACACACACACACACACACACACACACGGUGAAGAUGGGGAUGGUUUGCGGGACAGCAGUGGGGGCAAUGCUUAUUUUGCCAUUUUGUCUAAGACAUAAAUGGCCCUGAAGCCAUAUCCAAACCUUUUCAUUUCACAAGUUUCGGUUUUUUGUCCCUCGUACUACAAAGGGGAACGAACUGAAGCAACUCUACAAUUUGAUUAAUCCAGAUUUUUAAAAAAAAUGUACAGACGUUUUCACAAGAAUAUCACUUCAUUUAUUUAACUAUAUUCCUCAUUUACCCAACCCACUUUUAAGUGUAAAUACAACUUGGAAGUGUUCUGGUAAGAUUCACUUAAUGAAAGAGUUUUUAAAACUCAAAGAAAAAUCUUCAUUCUACUUACUUGAUCUUUUCCUUUUCUUCCUUAAUUUUCUCUAGUGAUAAUUUUAGGAAAUAUCAUUGAAUAUUUACUAAAAUCUAAAAAUCAGUAAUUACAAUUUACUGAUAAUAUGAAAAGCAAGUCUUCUCAUUUUCAAACUGACCCUGGCUGAUUAUUAGUUCGACUAUUUCAUGUCAUACUUUAUCACAUGUAAAAUUAUAAAAAGCACAUUAAAAUGGCAUGAAAGAUAGUUUUUAAAA